RNAcentral lists this microRNA precursor (101 nucleotides) under Hordeum vulgare subsp. vulgare (domesticated barley). RNAcentral describes it as "MIR528 microRNA precursor family". It matches the Rfam family "MIR528 microRNA precursor family". The record is from Rfam by way of RNAcentral. Lineage: Eukaryota; Viridiplantae; Streptophyta; Magnoliopsida; Poales; Poaceae.
GUGGAAGGGGCAUGCAGAGGAGCGGCCAUGCAUGGGAGCUUUGCUUUGCUUGCCUCUCCUGCUCUGGGCUCUAGCUCUCUCCUGUGCCUGCCUCUUCCAUU